UUAGUACUCUUAUAAACCCUAGAGGUGGUCAAAAGAAAGGAUAGGAACCAUGGAACCUUCGCCUGGAUGCCCUGUUUCGCACCAACACCGUCCGAUGAUCCUCUAUCCGCAUCACCACCAUACAAUCCUCUGCCCUGCCCACCACAACCACCAUCAUACAAAAAGCUGCCCUCUCCACCAUCACCACCACUAUACAAUAAGCUGCCCUCUCCACCACCACCACCACCACCACCAUCACCACCUCAUUACUCACCAUUCUCACGUAAUCCCUACUUUAGCUCCUCUUGUGUCUACAACCGCGCCAAACGAAACCCACCAUUCUGGCAAUCCGGCGUUGCAAGAGCAAGAGUAUGAACAACUACAACAGGUAGAAGAAGAGGAUGAUGAGGAAGAUGAGCCCAUUUUUGUUCUAACAGAUGAAUGGAGGGAGUUUUUUGCAAAAUCCGAAGCAAAAAGAAAAUUGGAGAAGAAGCAGGCUAAGAAGAAACAGAAAAAUUAAAUUCUGGGAAUGAUGAAAGAUUCUUGACUCUAUCACCUCGUUUGACACUCAAAUAUAGACAUAUCGCGGGUCGAAGUUAGUCCGAGUUAGUUUUAGAUUAUAAUGUUUUCAGGUAUAGGUUAAAUCAAACCAGAGAUCUCCAUGCUUUCACUUCUUUCUUAAUAUACAGUCAACCGACAUGGCGAUAAUAGAUUACAGUCAUGCAUCGCACUGGUGUUAGGUAUUUGUCUUCAACCAUCUAAGGCUUAAAAUCGAGUUUGCUGAAAGCAGCAUUGAUUCGUUCAUCUGAAAUUUUGUAGUUUUCGUAGAAAUCUAAAAUCUCCAUGGAGAUGUUCUUCACCUGCAAGUUUUCGAUGAAAUGAAGUUAGAAAUGGACACUUUUUUAUAUUACAUAUGGAUUUAGUUGUUUUCUUGUAACGAAAGAAACUGUAACGCACCACAUUCAUAUCGACAUGAAGCUCUUCAAACCAAGUGGUGAUAUCUUUCUCUCUGUGUACACUAGCAAUGUACAUGCAAGCUAAGGCAAUCAAAUAUGGUGGAUGUAUAAGAAUAAGGUCCAUCUUGUAUGUGUC
RNA transcript from Gossypium raimondii (Peruvian cotton), 1071 nucleotides. RefSeq lists it as uncharacterized. The transcript is spliced from 4 exons. Lineage: Eukaryota; Viridiplantae; Streptophyta; Magnoliopsida; Malvales; Malvaceae. The record is from RefSeq and is a predicted model, not a curated record.